UACAGAGGGUGCAAGCGUUAAUCGGAAUUACUGGGCGUAAAGCGUGCGCAGGCGGUCAUGCAAGACAGGUGUGAAAUCCCCGAGCUCAACUUGGGAACUGCAUUUGUGACUGCAUGACUAGAGUACGGUAGAGGGAGAUGGAAUUCCGCAUGUAGCAGUGAAAUGCGUAGAUAUCGAGAGGAACACCUGCGGCGAAGGCGGGUUGCUGGGCUGAUACUGACGCUGAGGCGCGAAAGCCAGGGGAGCGAACGGG
Molecule: ribosomal RNA, 253 nt
Filed under: uncultured bacterium
Lineage: Bacteria
Description: partial 16S ribosomal RNA
Rfam family: Bacterial small subunit ribosomal RNA
Source: RNAcentral